UUAUAAGAGACAGCAGUAGCCGCGGGAAAACAGAGGGUGCAAGCGUUAAUCGGAAUUACUGGGCGUAAAGCGCGCGUAGGUGGUUCGCCAAGUUGGAUGUGAAAUCCCCGGGCUCAACCUGGGAACUGCAUCCAAAACUGGCGAGCUAGAGUAUGGUAGAGGGUGGUGGAAUUUCCUGUGUAGCGGUGAAAUGCGUAGAUAUAGGAAGGAACAUCAGUGGCGAAGGCGACCACCUGGACUGAUACUGACACUGAGGUGCGAAAGCGUGGGGAGCAAACAGGAUUAGAUACCCCUGUAGUCCCUGUCUCUUAUAA
This 314-nucleotide ribosomal RNA is filed under the name uncultured bacterium. RNAcentral describes it as "partial 16S ribosomal RNA". It matches the Rfam family "Bacterial small subunit ribosomal RNA", at positions 499 to 809 of the family's 1533-position model. The record is from RNAcentral.